GGGUGCGCAGGGGCGGAGCGGGGGCCGCCCCGCGCUGAUCCCUCCGGCGCCCAGGCCUUCCUCCUGGCCUUCUCGUCCGACUUCCUGCCGCGCGCCUACUACCGGUGGACCCGCGCCCACGACCUGCGCGGCUUCCUCAACUUCACGCUGGCGCGCGCCCCGCCCUCCUUCGCCGCCGCGCACAACCGCACGUGCAGGUAUCGGGCUUUCCGGGAUGAUGAUGGACAUUAUUCCCAGACCUACUGGAAUCUUCUUGCCAUCCGCCUGGCCUUCGUCAUUGUGUUUGAGGUAGCUGAGGCACCUGCUGCUUCUCCCAUCCAUGGCAUGACGCCCCGACCCUGUGCUUUGCCUAAUUCGAGCACGUGGUGAGGGAUUGGUGCCGUCACUUCCUGCUGUGUCAUCUUGGUCAAAUCAGAGCUCUUCUCUGCACCUGCGUUUUCCCUGGCCUCAUCCUUGGGUUGUGGUGUGGACACUGUGGGUGUCUCCACAGGAGCCCCAGGGCCACGAAAGCUGGGGUGGCCUCUGCCCCUUCUGGGGUUCCUUUUCCUGCACAGCUGCUUUCUGGCUCCACCCACAGCUGGGAGCAGGUGCCGGAGCCCCGGCCUGCCUGGCCCUGUGAAGGCCACUCUGGGCAUUUGGGUGGGGGUGAGUGCCUUCCUCUGCUCCCAGCAUGUGGUUUUCUCCGUCGGCCGCCUCCUGGACCUCCUGGUACCUGACAUCCCAGAGUCUGUGGAGAUCAAAGUGAAGCGGGAGUACUACCUGGCUAAGCAGGCGCUGGCCGAGAAUGAGGUGAACUGCACAGCCCAGUCUUGGCCCUCCCCCCAGCCUUCUCCCUAUCCUUGUCAGUGGCUGCUGUAUCUCCGGACACCGAGUCACAUCCUCUUCCUCUUGCUGCCCUUUUUUGGGGACAGGCUCUUUUUGGAACGAACGGAGCAAAGGAUGAGCAGCCCCAGGGCUCAGAGGCAAGUCUGGGAGCAGCCAGGCCCCUGCCCCGUGCACUCCCUGAGGUCACAGGGCCCUGCCCAGCCGCCCACUCUGCCUCGUGGCCAUGGCCUACUCCUGGCCCUAGUCUGACUUGUCCCUGCCUCCAACCCUCUCUCCAGCUCAGCUCCCACUGGACACCCUUCACGGUUCCCAAGGCCAGCCAGCUGCAGCAGUGACGCCUGGAAGGACAUCUGGUGGUCCUUAGGGGAGUGGCCCCUGCUGAGCCCUUCGAGCAGCAUCCUUUUCGUCUUCCCUCAGGCAGUGGCUGUGUGAACCGCUGGCUGCUGUUGUACCUCAUCUCUGGGCACAUUGCCUGCUUCCCUCCAGCGCUGGCUUCUCUCCUCAGAGCGCCUGUCACUCCAUCCCCGGCAGGGAGGGACCGUCAGCUCACAAGGCCCUCUUUGUUUCCUGCUCCCAGACAUAAGCCCAAGGGGCCCCUGCACCCAAGGGACCCUGUCCCUCGGUGGCCUCCCCAGGCCCCUGGAUGCGACAGUUCUGAUCAGACAGGUGGGCUUUGUGGUCCUUGCCACCCCGGCCACAUCACCCUCUCCUCUUAUACCUGGUGACCUUAGAAUGUUGCAGAGCGCAGGGCUGUUCUCCCUCGUGUCCUCUGGACCCACCCGCCUCUUCCUGCCCUGUCCGCGCAGGGACAUCACCCAUAUGCCCCAGCUCUCGGACCCUGCAGCUCUGUGUCCCAGGCCACAGCAAAAGUCUGUUCAACCCCUCCCUCCAUUCCCAGUUAUCUGGGUCCUCUGGAUUCUUCUGUUUCUUGAAUCAGGCUCUGCUUUCCCCCUAGCCACUACAGGCAGCCUCUGACAGUGUCGCUUUAAUUGCAUUCUGCAGCAAUUACAUGUGUCCUUUUGAUCCUUGCUCAACUUCCCUCCCUCUCCCAGCUCCUGGCCCCUGGCCCAGGGCCCCUCUUGCUGUUUUUACCUCUGUUCCUUGGGGCCUAGUACACAGCAAGCACCCAAAUGGGGGAGAUUUUGGGAUGAGAGGAGGAAACGUGUAUACCUGUAACAUCUGGUGGCUCUUCCCCCAGAAGUUUGUGUUUACACAUAAUUGUUUUCCACGCUGGAUCAUAAUGUGACGUGCAGUUUCGCCCUGUGCUGAGGAGCCACGUGAACCUUCCCCUGGCUAACUGUUGCUACCCCGCAACAUUCCCAGUGUAGCCGUCCACUUGCUAAAAAAUGGAUCUGUGCUCAUCUGUA
RNAcentral lists this small RNA (2192 nucleotides) under Pongo abelii (Sumatran orangutan). RNAcentral describes it as "retained intron". Lineage: Eukaryota; Metazoa; Chordata; Mammalia; Primates; Hominidae. The record is from RNAcentral.